UAAAUGAACAAUCAAUUACUACAAACAUAAAACUAGACACCAUGAACAAUCAAUUACAGCUGCAAUGAAAGGUCGUCGAACACCAUGAACGCCGGCAAGCAUAAAAAGAUAAUAACUAGCAAGACAUCCAAUAUCAUCCACAAAAGAUAAUAACUAGCAAGACAUCCAAUAUCAGAGCAAAUCAAACAAAAUAAAACUAAAACAGAUUUUCCCCCAACAAAAUAGAACACCAAAUCAACCAAAUUUAAAAAAUAAAUCAACAUUAAAGUCCAAAUCAAACUGAGAUGGCACCAUGAACAGAUUACAAAACCGAUUAGAUAAAAUAUAUUUCAAACACAGAACCAGUAAUGAAACUCCAAAUCUGAACAUUAAAAGAAGCAGUUCAAGAUUUGGUUUAUGGAGAAAAUGAACAGGAAUAAACAAAACCAGAUCAACGAAUCCCUCUUCCACAAACCCAUUCCCAGAAAAGCCACCAAGAUCUGAAACCCCAAAUAGCCCCAAGCAACCGCCGCUGCAGAUCAUAACUUCAAAAUCCAGAUAAACCCCCACACGAUCUAAAGCCACCAGACUUUGUUAUGAAUAGAUCGGAAAUCAGAUUUUCGGGAAAGUCCUAGAUUAGCCGCCUAGCAUGAAACGAAUAAACUCGUUAGCGAAAGAGAUGAGGAAAUAAUUUUAGAGAGAAAUGAGAUUCUGAGAACUUACACGAUGCGAGGUUUCAUUUGAUGAAGAGCGAAAGUGUGGUUGACUGUUUCAGUUGAUGAAGAAUUGAAGAGCGAGAGGCCGAGAGUGAUGAAGAGCCAGAUCUUUUCGGCUCUCGUUCUCUCUUUCUCUCUCUGGAUAUAUAGUGACUGAUAGUAGUAUAGUUUUUACCAGGUCUAGACAGUCUAGAUAUUCGUGGACUACACAGUCGGCGACUCGUCGUUGUCUCUUUGAGGACUCUUAGUCUCUCGCUCUCAGUUUUAGAUCUGAAUCUGAUCUCAAAAAAGCCUUUUAUUUUAUUAUGCCUUUAUUGCCUUAGCCAAAGCCGGUU
RNAcentral lists this long non-coding RNA (1030 nucleotides) under Panax ginseng (ginseng). Its description in RNAcentral is "long non-coding RNA (PGIN_LNC007554)". The record is from RNAcentral. Lineage: Eukaryota; Viridiplantae; Streptophyta; Magnoliopsida; Apiales; Araliaceae.